GCCAGUGUGGUGUAGUGGUUUGAUUGUUUGACUAUGACUUUGGAGACCAGGGUUUCAUUCCCUGCUCAGCCA
Non-coding RNA from Phrynosoma platyrhinos (Desert horned lizard), 72 nucleotides. Lineage: Eukaryota; Metazoa; Chordata; Lepidosauria; Squamata; Phrynosomatidae. The record is from the annotation of a GenBank genome assembly.